UACAACUAAGACUAAGUAUUGAAAUCAUUGAAUGGUGAUUAAGAACUUUUUGAAAUAUCGCGUCGAGUUAAUCCCAUCGUCCCAAUUUCUAUUGUCGAUGGUAACCUGAAUCUAUUAUUUAAGUCUUUUCAUCGAACACGAUUAUUGUUCCGGACGUUAUUUUUAUUCUUGAAUAAUCUUGAGUUAGUAAGGAGGCGUCGUAUUGUCCAUUGAGGACGAGCCUUUGCGUUACACUUUUGAGCGACCUCUCUCGAAUAUAUCUUUCGAAAAGGUGUCUCUUCUCGGCCAGUUAAAUGUUCUCUUCUCUCGCUAAGUGCGAAUUCGAGGCACUUUCUCCCCACGCUAUUCACAAUGGGACGCUAAUUAAAAAAAGGCGACCGAAGAGUUACGAUGCAACAUUUGCACGGUUCCAAUUAUUAUCAAGCAACGGAGAGUGAGAGAAGAAGGUGAGGAAGAAAAGGAGGUGGUGCUCAACCCAAUUUCCCGAUGCCCCGUUCGAAGACGAUGUUGUGGCCGUCGUUUUCUUUUCAGCUGUCAGGAAUUAUGUUGUUUACAACGGUCUGAGAACGCGGCAUCCCCUUCAAUUUACGGACGCCGAAAAGCGUUCCGAAGACCUUAAUACCAUCGCGUUUUACGUGCCAUUGUUCUUGAACGUUCGCUUCGGGGACCGGUCGCUUUAAUGAGUGACCGAAAAUACUGUCGUCGACCGCAACAAAAAAAUUAAGAGGAAUAAAAAAAAAUAAACGUACGAAGAAACUCGAAAUGAUAUUGGUUGUAAUUCUUGUUUUAUGCACCAUCGAAAUUUCUUUGGGGGCUGUGAGUGUUGAAAAUGCGCCGGUUAACGAUCCGAAAUUGAAAGCGCAGGGUUAUACCUGUUAUAAUAAAGAAGUUGGGCCCAUGAAAUCCGGGGAAGCUAACAAUAAUUUUAGUCAAAAAAGUUGUAUGAAAGUUAGUUGUAACAAUGGUGUCUUCCAAUAUGAAACUUGUGGUGUUUAUAAAGUUGAAGGGCAACCAACUCGGCCACAAGAUCCAACAAAACCAUACCCAGAAUGUUGUAAUUAUCCUUUUUAAUUUUUGAAGAAAUUUCUAAUCACUUUAUUUUAAUUUUGGUAGUUUUAUCAUAAGCAAUGAAGUGGUUGAUAUUUGUCAAAUAAAAAUUCAAAUCACUAUAUAAACCACGCGUUUCUUUAACAGAUUAUACUCAUUCCUAAAAUGGCAUCAAAUAAGUUGGUUCUUUCCUUCCUUUUCCUUUGUGUUAUUCAAAUUUCUUUAGCUGCUGUAGCAAUGGAGUUCGCACCGGUUAAUGAUCUAAUAUUAAAAGCCCAAGGUUAUGUUUGUUUCAGCGAAGGGAUUGGUUUAAUGAAAGAUGGUGAAGUUAAUAAUAAUUAUAGUCAAGGAGUUUGUGGAUCAGUUGGAUGUGGCAAUGGACUUUUACAUUAUGAAUCUUGUGGUGUAGUCAUAGUCGAAGGUAUACCAAAACAGGCAGAAGAUCCAACAAAGCCAUACCCACAAUGUUGUAAUUAUCCUCAUUAAUUCUGAUGAAUUAACGUUGUAAUAAAUUUGAUCAAAUA
Onthophagus taurus is the source of this 1571-nucleotide non-coding RNA. NCBI's taxonomy places the organism in Eukaryota, Metazoa, Arthropoda, Insecta, Coleoptera, Scarabaeidae. The record is from RefSeq and is a predicted model, not a curated record.